Long non-coding RNA from Anopheles merus, 1188 nucleotides. RefSeq lists it as uncharacterized. The record is from RefSeq and is a predicted model, not a curated record. The transcript is spliced from 4 exons. Lineage: Eukaryota; Metazoa; Arthropoda; Insecta; Diptera; Culicidae.
UUCGCGUUCUCAUGAAAAAGUGGUAGUGUUAAAUCAACUUUGCAAGCAGAAGGACGCGUCGGUGCGUGCUCGUUUUUUCUCGUGAAACCACUACGGAAAAACUAUUUGCAAAUCGUAACACACGCACGAACGGAAGUAAGCACGGACCACGAUAGAAGCAAUAUUCUAUUGGUUGAAGUGCCGAAAACAACAGAACAGGAGAAGAAAGAAGGCAGGAACGAUCCUCCGACGUGCUACCGCCUGGUAGAGGAGAAGCAGCAGGAAGGUAGGGACGAUCAUCCAGCGCGCUAGCACAGCAUGUGGGAGCAGCGAGAGGGAGGCAAGCAGGAAGAAUUUUUAACGUGUGGACACCAUUCGACGAAGACAACGCCGGAUGAAAGGAAGAACGAGGAAAGAAGGCAGGCAAGACGGGAACCGUAGUUUCUCGUAAGAUGGUACAUAAUACACCAAUAAAGCUUUUUCGAUGUCUACUAGUAAGUUUACAUUGGUAAAAGUAUUGCAAUCAGAGGAAAACCUUAAGGUGUCGAAACUACCCCCAGUUCCCCUACGUGUGUAGAACUUUCGGCAGUGUGAAUUGUGCACCGGUUUUCGGCAGUGUGAAUUGUGUGAGUAUGUAAAUAUGUAUGUGCGAGUAAGAAGGUAAAAUAAAGAGCGUAAGCAUGUGCAGAAUGGACAAAUGAGAGUAAGAGUCUUUGUAGGGAGAAUGAAGAGAAUGAAAGAAAUUGAGAAGGGAUGUAGCAUACAGAAACCAAAUGUAUGAUACACGCUGUCGCACGGUUGGAAAAACCUUCUCUAUAGUUCUGCUAUCGAGAACGAUUUGACCGCACUAUAGAGAACACUUUUUCAAUACAAAAAAAAAACUGGUUGCAACGUGACAAUGUCGGUUGGGAUGUUUCCGAGCAACAACCUGCUUGGCAAAGAGUAACUCAUUUUUAUUGCCUCUCGCCACCCCUGGCCUUAGUUUUGAAGGAAUCAUGCGACACACUCGCACUCCACUACCCCAUCCCAUGGAAAAACGCUCCCACCAUCGAGGUGUUGACCAAAAUUUCGCUGUGUGCAUGAGACACACACUCGCACUCCUCCAGCCCUCCACAGCUGAACGCACCCACCGUUGCGAAGAUGGGAGAAUUUUUGCUCUGAGCGUGAGACCCUGAAACGCAAGAGAUGACACUAUGUGUAAAGACGAUC